This is a long non-coding RNA of Euleptes europaea (tarantolino), 195 nucleotides long. RefSeq lists it as uncharacterized. The transcript has 3 exons. The record is from RefSeq and is a predicted model, not a curated record. NCBI's taxonomy places the organism in Eukaryota, Metazoa, Chordata, Lepidosauria, Squamata, Sphaerodactylidae.
CUGCGCUGAACACUGCAGGACACUUCCUGGAAUGUCUGCAACCCACCAACGUUCCGUCAGAUCGUGGUGGAGGAAUUUCCUCUAGCAUUAGCAAAUCAACCUCUGCUUCACCCAGAAGGGAAACAUGCGCCACCCAAAAUUUGCCAGAGUGUUGUGUGAUCAGACGUGCAGUUUGAGCAAGGAUGCUUGGCCUGU